This 241-nucleotide unclassified non-coding RNA is filed under the name Tubeufia cerea. RNAcentral describes it as "partial contains 5.8S ribosomal RNA, internal transcribed spacer 2, and large subunit ribosomal RNA". The record is from RNAcentral. Lineage: Eukaryota; Fungi; Ascomycota; Dothideomycetes; Tubeufiales; Tubeufiaceae.
CGCACAUUGCGCCCCUUGGUAUUCCGAGGAGCAUGCCUGUUCGAGCGUCAUUUCAAACCUCAAGCUCUUGCUUGGUAUUGGGCGUCGUCCGCCUGGACGUGCCUGAAACUCGUGGGCGGUGGUGCCGAUCUCCCAGCGUAGUCAAUUCUAUCCGCUUCGGAGUUUAGGCGUCGCCCGCCUGAGAACACUCUUUUUUCUAUGGUUUGACCUCGGAUCAGGUAGGGAUACCCGCUGAACUUAA